Molecule: non-coding RNA, 90 nt
Filed under: Desulfofustis glycolicus DSM 9705
Lineage: Bacteria; Pseudomonadati; Thermodesulfobacteriota; Desulfobulbia; Desulfobulbales; Desulfocapsaceae
Source: RNAcentral
GAAAGCCCAGUGCGGGAAAUCCGCACGCUGGGUUUGUCGAGGCGGAGGUUGGAAACGGGCCUUUAGUACCGCGCCAGCCUUCGACCCUAC